UACGUAGGGUCCAAGCGUCAUCCGGAAUCACUGGGCGUAAAGCGUGCGUAGGUGGAUAGUUAAGUGCAAUGCGAAAUCCUGUGGCUCAACCAUAUGGACUGUAUUGCAUACUGGCUGUCUAGAGGACAUGAGAGGCAAGUGGAAUUACCGGUGUAGCAGUGAAAUGCGUAGAUAUCGGUAGGAACACCAAUGGCGAAGGCAGCUUGCUGGCAUGUAUCUGACGCUAAGGCACGAAAGCGUGGGGAGCGAACAGG
Molecule: ribosomal RNA, 254 nt
Filed under: uncultured bacterium
Lineage: Bacteria
Description: partial 16S ribosomal RNA
Rfam family: Bacterial small subunit ribosomal RNA
Source: RNAcentral